Molecule: ribosomal RNA, 530 nt
Filed under: uncultured bacterium
Lineage: Bacteria
Description: bacterial SSU rRNA
Rfam family: Bacterial small subunit ribosomal RNA
Source: RNAcentral
AGUGGGGAAUAUUGGACAAUGGGGGAAACCCUGAUCCAGCGACGCCGCGUGAACGAAGAAGUCCUUCGGGAUGUAAAGUUCUUUUAAAUGGGAAGAAGACAGUGACGGUACCAAUUGAAUAAGCCCCGGCUAACUACGUGCCAGCAGCCGCGGUAAGACGUAGGGGGCAAGCGUUACCCGGAAUCACUGGGCGUAAAGGGAGCGUAGGCGGUUACGCAGGUCAUACGUUAAAGGAUCCGGCUCAACCGGAGAGAUGCAUAUGAAACCGUAUAACUUGAGGAUAUCAGAGGAAAAGGGAAUUACCAUUGUAGGGGUGAAAUCCGUAGAGAGUGGUAAGAAUGCCGGUGGCGAAGGCGCUUUUCCGGGGUAUACCUGACGCUGAGGCUCGAAAGCCAGGGGAGCGAACCGGAUUAGAUACCCGGGUAGUCCUGGCCGUAAACGAUGUUCACUAGGUGUAGGAUGUCGACAGGCAAACUGUGCUGAAGCUAACGCGAUAAGUGAACCGCCUGGGGAGUACGUCCGCAAGGAUG